Molecule: non-coding RNA, 119 nt
Organism: Loxodonta africana (African savanna elephant)
Lineage: Eukaryota; Metazoa; Chordata; Mammalia; Proboscidea; Elephantidae
Source: Rfam
UGAGGAGGCCAUACCACCCUGAAUUCGCUGGAUCUUGUCUGAUCUCAGAAGCUAAGCGGGGUUGGACCUGAUUAGUACUUGCAUGGGAGACUGCCUGGGAAUAGCGGGUGCUGUAGGUU